RNAcentral lists this ribosomal RNA (556 nucleotides) under Neisseria sp. oral taxon F88. RNAcentral describes it as "bacterial SSU rRNA". It matches the Rfam family "Bacterial small subunit ribosomal RNA", at positions 505 to 1065 of the family's 1533-position model. The record is from RNAcentral. Lineage: Bacteria; Pseudomonadati; Pseudomonadota; Betaproteobacteria; Neisseriales; Neisseriaceae.
GUGCCAGCAGCCGCGGUAAUACAUAGGGUGCGAGCGUUAAUCGGAAUUACUGGGCGUAAAGCGAGCGCAGACGGUUACUUAAGCAGGAUGUGAAAUCCCCGGGCUUAACCUGGGAACUGCGUUCUGAACUGGGUAGCUAGAGUAUGUCAGAGGGGGGUAGAAUUCCACGUGUAGCAGUGAAAUGCGUAGAGAUGUGGAGGAAUACCGAUGGCGAAGGCAGCCCCCUGGGAUAAUACUGACGUUCAUGCUCGAAAGCGUGGGUAGCAAACGGGAUUAGAUACCCUGGUAGUCCACGCCCUAAACGAUGUCGAUUAGCUGUUGGGCAGCUUGACUGCAUAGUAGCGUAGCUAACACGUGAAAUCGACCGCCUGGGGAGUACGGUCGCAAGAUUAAACUCAAAGGAACCGACGGGGAACCCGCACAAGCGGGUGGAUGAUGUGGGAUUAAUUCGAUGCUACGCGAAGAACCUUACAUGGUCUUGACAUGUACGGUACUUCCAGAGACGGAAGGUGCGUCGGGAACCGUAACACAGUGCGCAGGCGUCGUCGUCUGGUGG